RNAcentral lists this ribosomal RNA (253 nucleotides) under uncultured bacterium. RNAcentral's name for it is "partial 16S ribosomal RNA". It matches the Rfam family "Bacterial small subunit ribosomal RNA", at positions 524 to 776 of the family's 1533-position model. The record is from RNAcentral.
UACGGAGGGUGCAAGCGUUAUCCGGAUUCACUGGGUUUAAAGGGUGCGUAGGCGGGUAGGUAAGUCAGUGGUGAAAUCUUCGAGCUUAACUCGGAAACUGCCUUUGAUACUAUCUAUCUUGAAUAUUGUGGAGGUAAGCGGAAUAUGUCAUGUAGCGGUGAAAUGCUUAGAUAUGACAUAGAACACCUAUUGCGAAGGCAGCUUACUGGACACAUAUUGACGCUGAGGUGCGAAAGCGUGGGGAGCAAACAGG